RNAcentral lists this microRNA precursor (85 nucleotides) under Mus musculus (house mouse). RNAcentral describes it as "mir-3473 microRNA precursor family". It matches the Rfam family "mir-3473 microRNA precursor family". Lineage: Eukaryota; Metazoa; Chordata; Mammalia; Rodentia; Muridae. The record is from Rfam by way of RNAcentral.
UCCACUGAGCCAUCUCGCCAGCCCGAAAAUAAUAUUUUUAUUGAGUUAAAAACACACAGGAGGGCUGGUGAGAUGGCUCAGUGGG